GACGAACGCUGGCGGCGUGCUUAACACAUGCAAGUCGUACGGUAAGGCCCUUUCGGGGGUACACGAGUGGCGAACGGGUGAGUAACACGUGAGUAACCUGCCCACAACUUUGGGAUAACGCUAGGAAACUGGUGCUAAUACUGGAUAUGAGCCCCUGCUGCAUGGUGGGGGUUGGAAAGCUCCGGCGGUUGUGGAUGGACUCGCGGCCUAUCAGCUUGUUGGUGGGGUAGUGGCCUACCAAGGCGGCGACGGGUAGCCGGCCUGAGAGGGUGACCGGCCACAUUGGGACUGAGAUACGGCCCAGACUCCUACGGGAGGCAGCAGUGGGGAAUAUUGCACAAUGGGCGCAAGCCUGAUGCAGCAACGCCGCGUGCGGGAUGACGGCCUUCGGGUUGUAAACCGCUUUCAGCAGGGACGAAGCUUUUUGUGACGGUACCUGCAGAAGAAGCACCGGCUAACUACGUG
RNAcentral lists this ribosomal RNA (465 nucleotides) under uncultured bacterium. RNAcentral's name for it is "partial 16S ribosomal RNA". It matches the Rfam family "Bacterial small subunit ribosomal RNA", at positions 28 to 507 of the family's 1533-position model. The record is from RNAcentral.